AACCUUAUGGACCUGCGGGCGUAUACCUGCGGAAGGAUCAUUACAGAGUUAUCCAACUCCCAAACCCAUGUGAACUUAUCUCUUUGUUGCCUCGGCGCAAGCUACCCGGGACCCCGCGCCCCGGGCGGCCCGCCGGCGGACAAACCAAAACUCUUGUUAUCUUAGUUGAUUCUCUGAGCGUCUUAUUUAAUAAGUCAAAACUUUUAGCAAUGGAUCU
RNAcentral lists this unclassified non-coding RNA (217 nucleotides) under soil metagenome. RNAcentral's name for it is "partial contains 5.8S ribosomal RNA, internal transcribed spacer 2, and large subunit ribosomal RNA". The record is from RNAcentral.